This 956-nucleotide ribosomal RNA is filed under the name uncultured Caryophanales bacterium. RNAcentral's name for it is "bacterial SSU rRNA". It matches the Rfam family "Bacterial small subunit ribosomal RNA", at positions 540 to 1501 of the family's 1533-position model. Lineage: Bacteria; Bacillati; Bacillota; Bacilli; Caryophanales. The record is from RNAcentral.
CGUGUCCGGAUCACUGGCGUAAAGCGCGCGCAGGCGUGAUGUAAGUCUGAGGUGAAACCCGAAGCUCAAAUUCGGGAUGCCUUGGAUACUGCGUCACUUGAGGAUAGGAGAGGCAAGGGGAAUUCCACGUGUAGCGGUGAAAUGCGUAGAGAUGUGGAGGAACACCUGUGGCGAAGGCGCCUUGCUAGCCUAUUUCUGACGCUGAGGCGCGAAAGCGUGGGGAGCAAACAGGAUUAGAUACCCUGGUAGUCCACGCUGUAAACGAUGAGUGCUAGGUGUAGGUGGGCUCAUACCCAUCUGUGCCGAAGCUAACGCAUUAAGCACUCCGCCUGGGGAGUACGGUCGCAAGACUGAAACUCAAAGGAAUUGACGGGGGCCCGCACAAGCAGUGGAGCAUGUGGUUUAAUUCGAAGCAACGCGAAGAACCUUACCAGGACUUGACAUCCCAUAGACCAGUCUAGAGAUAGACUUUCCCUUCGGGGCUGUGGUGACAGGUGGUGCAUGGUUGUCGUCAGCUCGUGUCGUGAGAUGUUGGGUUAAGUCCCGCAACGAGCGCAGCCCUUACUUUGUGUUGCCAGCAUUCAGUUGGGCACUCACAAGGGACUGCCGCCGAUAAGGCGGAGGAAGGUGGGGAUGACGUCAAAUCAUCAUGCCCCUUAUGUCCUGGGCUACACACGUGCUACAAUGGGCGGUACAACGGGAUGCGAAGCCGCGAGGUGGAGCCAAACCCUGAAAACCGUUCGUAGUUCGGAUUGUAGGCUGCAACUCGCCUACAUGAAGCCGGAAUUGCUAGUAAUCGCGGAUCAGCAUGCCGCGGUGAAUCCGUUCCCGGGCCUUGUACACACCGCCCGUCACACCACGAGAAUGGGCAACACCCGAAGUCGGUGGGGUAACCUUUACGGAAGCUAGCCGCCGAAGGUGGGGCCUGUGAUUGGGGCGUAUUUAACAAGGUAACC